This 460-nucleotide ribosomal RNA is filed under the name uncultured bacterium. RNAcentral describes it as "partial 16S ribosomal RNA". It matches the Rfam family "Bacterial small subunit ribosomal RNA", at positions 338 to 795 of the family's 1533-position model. The record is from RNAcentral.
CCUACGGGAGGCAGCAGUGAGGAAUAUUGGUCAAUGGGCGCGAGCCUGAACCAGCCAAGUCGCGUGAGGGAUGACUGCCCUACGGGUUGUAAACUUCUUUUAUCAAGGAAUAAAGUCAGGCACGUGUGCCUUUUUGUAUGUACUUUAUGAAAAAGGAUCGGCUAACUCCGUGCCAGCAGCCGCGGUAAUACGGAGGAUCCGAGCGUUAUCCGGAUUUAUUGGGGUUAAAGGGAGCGUAGGUGGGUUGUUAAGUCAGUUGUGAAAGUUUGGGGCUCAACCGUCAAAUCGCAAUGGAUACUGGCAGUCUUGAGUACAGGUGAAGUAUGCGGAAUGCGGGGUGUAGCGGUGAAAUGCAUAGAUAUCACGAAGAACUCCGAUUGCGAAGGCAGCAUACUAAAUUGCCACUGACAUUGAUGCACGAAAGUGUGGGUAUCGAACAGGAUUAGAUACCCGAGUAGUC